AAUUAUUAUUUAUUAGUUGUUUUAUAUAUUUAAAGUAUUAUUUUUUAUUUUUUUUUUAUUUUUAUUAUUAUUUAUUAAUUUAUAGAUUAUUAUUAAAGUGAUUGAAAUUUAUUUUUAUUUUAUAAAGAAGAUUUAAUUUUUUGUACCUUUUGUAUCAGGGUUGAUUAAUUAAUGUUUUUGUAUUAAAUUUUUCUCGAAUUAGUAAGAGCUAAAAUAUUAUUUAUUUAACUGUCGAAUAAAUUUUUAUAAUAAUAUUUUUGUAAUGAAACGUUAUUCGUUUAUUAAUAUAUCUAGUUUUUUAAGAAAAAAGUUUAAUUUUAUAGACUUGAAAAGAUUCUUUUUUGAUUAAGGUUUAUUUUAUAGUUUAUUAGGUAUUUAGGGUUAAGCUUGGGUAUUGAUUUGUUAAAAUUGUUUAGGUUGUAAUAUCUUCUGUUUGAUUAGAAUUUUCAUUCUUUUUUAUAAAUUAAUAUUUAUUGAUAUUUGUUUAUUAUUUUUUAUUUGUUUAACUGUUUUAUUAGAAUGUAAUUAAAAAUUUUUUUUUUUAGUAAUAAUGAUUAAAUAAGUAAAUUUUUUCUUUUAAUUUAUUUUUAUAUGGUUUAGAUAAUUUAAAGUAACUAGGCAAAAAAAUAAUUUUCGCUUGUUUAUUAAAAACAUCUCUUUUUGUUAUAUUGAUUUAAGGUCUAAUCUGCUCAAUGAAAUAUUUUAAAUUGCUGCGGUAAUUUAACUGUACGAAGGUAGCAUAAUAAUUUGUUUUUUUAUUGAAAACUUGCAUGAAUGAUUGGACGAGAAAUUAACUGUCUCUAUUUUAAUUUUUGAAUUUAACUUUAAAGUUAAAAGGCUUUAAUGUUUAUAAGGGACAAGAAGACCCUAUAGAGUUUUAUUAAUUAUUGUUGAGGAGGGUUUAUAUUAUUUAAUUUUUUUCUUUAAUAAUUGAUUUUGUUGGGGUUGCUAGAAGAUUUAAAAAAUUCUUUUUUUUUAAUCAUUGAUUUAUGAUUUUAUUAUAUUUGUUAUUAAAUAUAAAUUAAAUUACCUUAGGGAUAACAGCGUUAUCUUUUUUAGGAGUUCUUAUUUUAAAAAAGGUUUGCGACCUCGAUGUUGGAUUAAAGUUUAAUUUUGAUGUAGGUGUCAAAAGUUUAAGUCUGUUCGACUUUUAAAAUUUUACAUGAUCUGAGUUUAAACCGGUGUAAGCCAGGUUGGUUUUUAUCUUUAUAAAAUUUAAAUUUCUUAGUACGAAAGGACUUGAUUUUUAAUAAAUUAUUUCUUGUAUUGAAUAUUAUU
Molecule: ribosomal RNA, 1278 nt
Filed under: Brasilocerus sp. 2 DTA-2012
Lineage: Eukaryota; Metazoa; Arthropoda; Insecta; Coleoptera; Phengodidae
Description: 16S ribosomal RNA
Rfam family: Archaeal large subunit ribosomal RNA (bases 1037-1195)
Source: RNAcentral